GGAUAUUGCAGUGUCUCUGCUACUUAAGAGGAUUGCUGGCAUUUUUUGCGCAGUUCCUUUUGUUAAGCUCUCCAUAGAUCCUCUUUUCAUAUGCAGUCUCCAUUGAUAAACAAUAAAAACAGUUUUAUGGAGAUUUUAUGCCUCUGUCUUAACUUAUUUGUUGGCUUUCUAACCUAUAUCAGGGGUAUUCCUAAGACUGUUUAUUGUUUUAAAUGAAUAAUCAGUAAAAGAAACUUUUCUAAAUGUGUAAAUGUUCUGUUGUAGUUUGUUCUAUAAAGAAUUCAGAACUUAUAUACUCAGUUCAUUAAGAUGAAAAAAAAUUUUUUUUCUAGUUAUCAUGGUAGACUCUUACUAAACAAAAUGGCAGAGUGUCUUUAGAUGGAUAACACUGGGUAACUUUUCAGCCAGUGCGGCUGGUGCUUUUCUGUUGAAUAUAGCUUACUGACCAGCUCUUAGCAUGUGGCUUGCUCAUUUUUUGGUGUAAACUGACACAUUGAAUCCCUAAUGAAAUUUAUAGGAUGCUCACUUAAUGCACAGCUACCAAUGGCAAGAAUAUGAGCUUCCUUUUCAUUUUCUCAGGAAUAUUACACUGGCUUUAACUGCUAUAAUUGACCAGGCUGGAGGUAUGGUGUUCUGAAACAGUGUAUCAGGAGUGUGCUACCCUGCUGCAGCCACCUGUUAUCUUAGGUGUUGUGGAUCCUUCUGUGGUUGCACUGAUUGCAGUUAGUGAUAUUUUACUGUGCAGAGCUCUGGAUCACCUGGGAGUAGUGAGACUUCCAGUUCAUCUGCAUUUUGCAAGAAAAGUAUGGAAAUAAGCAUUCUGGAUUCUGACUUGAACUGCUGAUCUCCUCAUCCUAGAAACCAUGAGCUGCAGAUCCCAAAGGACGGCUGCUGAAACACUGAUAAGUGUCUUCAACUUGAGUGCUAAAUAUGAUCAGUGAGAGUAAACAGUGGUGAUGCAGACUGCAGUCACUGUAAUCCAUGGUCACUGUACUUGAUGUUGCUUAUCAGUUCUGGCAGAUAAGACUGUUUUACUUGCAUAUGGUUUUUCACAAAGCAGGUCGGAAAGCCUGUACGAAAGCGCAGCUACCAUGGAUGGGAGACGGGCAUUUAUACAGCUGUGAAUGUAGCGCCGUAACACUGGAGAUAAAGUCCUUUCAGAGGAGCCUCCUUUUCCGCUUCCAGACAGUGAGGGGCGAGAGAUGGCUUGCACCGCGAGGGUGGCUGUGCUGCCGGGGGGUUGCGCGGGCUCCCUCAUACGUGGCAGCCUGGUCCUCGUGCCCUCCAGGGCCUGCCACAAGCAAGAGGCACCGACGCCAGUUUAAUUGCGUGAGUCUAUGGGCUGUCAAAAAGACCAAACGGUGUGAACUUCUCAAUAAAGCACUGGAGCUGGCAACUCUGACACCAACAUUUGAACAACUACUGCUUGCUGGGGCCAAAACUGCGCAAAAGAGCUUGACGUGCUUUUCUAACCUUUAAAAGUGCCUGAAUGUGGCAUAAUAGAAUCUGUUUAUUAUGUUUUGGUGAUUUCCCAAUCAAGUUUGCUCAACGUACAGCUUAAAAACCCAGGGUUUCUUUCGCUGCUGGCUGCUGCCCUCUGUGCUGCCUUGACCUUCAGCGACGGCUGCAGUUCGUGCCUGCAAGAGGCACGGGUCCCGCGAGGCUCUGCGAAACCCUGUCGGCGAGCAGCCGGGCGCCUGCCGCAGCAGAGAGCAGGGCUGAAACCCUGCUGUCCUUCGCUGCGUGGUUAUCCCGGCCACGCGCUGCGAGUGACGCUUGGGGAGCUGGGAGGGAGGAGCGGAGGGAGGGAGCUGCGCGCAGCCCUCCAGGCUUCCGUGCAAGGGAAACGCUUCAGAAACGCCCCGCCAGCGAACCUCAUGGAUCAUCCAAGCACGAUGCCCACAGGAAAAAGAAGUGAAUUUGGUGACUUCUUCUUCCUACAGCUGCUUCUCUAAGGCGGGCAAAGUCUAGCCUUUUGCUGGCGUAUGUCCAGCUAUGCGGUUUGCCCAGUGUAGGUAGUUUUGCUCCUCUUUCAGAGACUCUGGGUAAUAAAAGCCUCUUCAGUCAAAGACUGAAAGCGAUA
Apteryx rowi (Okarito brown kiwi) is the source of this 2083-nucleotide long non-coding RNA. The record is from Ensembl. Lineage: Eukaryota; Metazoa; Chordata; Aves; Apterygiformes; Apterygidae.